GUAUUAAAGUAUAUAUACUUUCUCUAUUUCGCUGCUCUAAUUUCCAAUUGUUGUGUGCCAAGUUUGAAGACUAUUGAACAAAUAUACAGUAAAGCUUAGGUCCCCCAAAGGCCAAACCGAUGAGAUUUGUAACAAAGCCCACUCUUACCACGAGAGAAAGAAAGCAGAACCUUGGUUCGCACUGCACAAUGUGCAACUGCAGUUAUUCUAUUCUUUUCCAAUGUUCAAGUAACCCUCAUAUGCGCUCUUAGCGUAAGUUAUGCAGUCUUGGUUUUGCAUGCUUCGUUCAGAAAACAAUCUACGCGAAGUGACAGAAACAGGAGGAGCAGUAAAAGAUGAGGAGAAACAAUGAAGUGUUGAAGAUUACUGUCAGUACAUUGUAGCUGGCCAGACUGCCCAGACCAUAUCUGCUUGCUGAACCUAUUAGCUAUAUGUCCUGCAGAUACUAGUGUCCAAUUUUAUCAAAUCACAAACUAGGUUCGAUUCAUCUGUUCUUUUCUACCUCUCUCUUCUCACGGGU
This is a long non-coding RNA of Coffea eugenioides, 520 nucleotides long. RefSeq lists it as uncharacterized. The record is from RefSeq and is a predicted model, not a curated record. NCBI's taxonomy places the organism in Eukaryota, Viridiplantae, Streptophyta, Magnoliopsida, Gentianales, Rubiaceae. The transcript has 4 exons.